UGCGCUCCAAAUUUAAUCAUAUGGCACAGCUCUCUGGACCCAAAUCCCUCCUGGAGAGAUAUGGUCUCCAAGGAGCACUGUCAUUCCUAAGUUCACAAGCUCACAGGCUUACAUGAGGAACAGGAUCCAGUCACAGACAGCAAGAACAAUUUUAUCAGAGAUAACCAGAUGGUGAAAGACAAGCACAAGAACCUAAGCACUAGAAAUCAAGACUACUUGGCAUCAUCAGAACCCAGUUCUUCAACUAAAGCAAAUACUGGAUAUCCCAACACACUGGAAAAGCAAGAUUUGGACUUCAAACCACAUCUCAUGAUGAUGAUAGAGGAUUUUAAGAAGGACAUAAAUAAUUCCCUUAAAGAAAUACAGGACAACACAGGUAAACAGGUAGAAGCCCUUAAAGGGGAAACACGAAAAAAAAAAAAAAAAA
RNAcentral lists this long non-coding RNA (427 nucleotides) under Rattus norvegicus (Norway rat). Its description in RNAcentral is "long non-coding RNA NONRATT002446". Lineage: Eukaryota; Metazoa; Chordata; Mammalia; Rodentia; Muridae. The record is from RNAcentral.